This 706-nucleotide ribosomal RNA is filed under the name Steinera symptychia. RNAcentral's name for it is "mitochondrial SSU rRNA". It matches the Rfam family "Bacterial small subunit ribosomal RNA", at positions 407 to 1213 of the family's 1533-position model. The record is from RNAcentral. Lineage: Eukaryota; Fungi; Ascomycota; Lecanoromycetes; Arctomiales; Arctomiaceae.
GCAAUAUCGACUGUGUUGAAUAAAAUUCUGGGUAGAGUGUGAUAAUGACAUGUUCUAUCUAUAGGUCUUGACCAACAUACGUGCCAGCAGUCGCGGUAAGACGUUAAAGACGAGUGUUAUUCAUCUUGAAUCGGUUUAAAGCGUACCUAGACGAUUAAUAAAGCUAUAGAAAGGACUCAUUAACUAGAGUUACAUGUGAGGGAGCUCUAAAGUACUGUUGAGUGUAGAGAUGAAAUUCUGUUAUACCAGAUGAUUGGCACAGAUAGAGGCGAAGGCAUCUCCUUAUGUAAUAACUGACGUUGAAGGACGAAGGCUUUUAAAGUGAACAGGAUUAGUUACCCCAGUAAUCCAGGCAGAAAAUGAUGAAUGUCAUAGGUCAAAAUUUGGUCUAUAAAUGAAAGUGUAAGCAUUCCACCUCAAGAGUAAUUUGGCAACAUAGGAAUUGAAAUCAUUAGACCGUUUCUGAAACCAGUGGUGAAGUAUGUUAUUUAAUUUGAUGAUCCGCAAAAAACCUUACCACAAUAUGAAUAUAUAUUUUUAAUAUUUACAAGCGUUGCACGGCUGUUUAUAGUUAAUGUCGUGAGAUGGUGGUUAGUUCCAUUAAUUAACGAAAACCCUUACUUUAUUUAUAAAUAGAGUUGUUCCCCGCUAUAUUGGAUAUGAUAACAGGGAUCAAGACAAGUCAUCAUGGCCUUAAUAUUGUGGG